Molecule: long non-coding RNA, 9333 nt
Filed under: Homo sapiens (human)
Lineage: Eukaryota; Metazoa; Chordata; Mammalia; Primates; Hominidae
Description: AGA divergent transcript, transcript variant 18 (AGA-DT)
Source: RNAcentral
AUCCCUGGGCCUGGGCCUACCUAGGUGAAGACAGGCAUUUUUGUUUUCCUGCCCGGAUGUUGCAUUUCCCAAGACCACCCUGGCCUGCCAUGCCCUCAUCCUGUGCCUUUAAAAACCCCCGAGACCCUGGCAGGCAGACGCACAAGCAGCUGGACAUUGAGAGGAGCAUAUAGGCAGAGAAUACAGGGGCUGCUGGAUGUCGAAAGGAACGCACCAGCAUAGGAGCACACCGGCAUGCUGGCAGGCCAUUGACCAGCGGAAGAAUGCAGAGUUUGUCGCGGGAGGUCAGAGAAGAGUCAGGCCGCCAUACCUGACUCCAGGAGAAAACCGUCUCCCUUCUGGUUCCCCCGUCUGCCGAGAGCUACUUCCACUCAAUAAAACUUUCCACUCAUUCUUCAAGCCCACGUGUGAUCCAAUUCUUCCCGUACACCAAGGUCUCGCUGUGUUUCCCAGGCUGGGUGCAGUGGCUAUUCAAAGGUACAAUGAUAGCUCACUGCAGCCUGGAACUCCUGGACUCAAGCGAUCCUCCUGCCUCAGCUGCGACUAACAGUGCUGGUAAUGAUGUAUACCUGGCAGCUGACCGUCAAAUCUUAUGAAGGAUUAAAACAUAAAGUUUGCAUUAAAGGUCAAAACAGUCACAAGCCUGCUCAAAUUCGGAAAGAGGGGACGGAAAUGGAACCUCUUCAUGGGAGGAAGGUAAAAGAAUUUGGUACCGUCUUUAAGACUACCACAUUACACCGAUGGCAUCUUCUCCACACUUUUAGCACAGCCUCUCUGCAGCUCGAUGAUCUGCAGUUUGUUUUCUCUUCUCCCCAAGUGACUAUGAGCUCAUGCGGGGCAAAAAUUAUUUAUAACCUUAAAAAAUUAUAUCCUAAGAAACUGUUUAUUAAAAUGAGACACUAUAAAUAUUGAAUGAAGUUUACACACACACACACCUAGAGAAAAUUACAAUGCUAAUAAUCAAAGACAAUCUAAAGUCUAUGGUUUAAUCUCUUACUUAAAUACAUUCAUUUGCAUUUGAGUAACUCGACAGUGAUGCAGGGCAGGCGACCCCCGGAAACUGGGGUUUAGCCCACGAGGGUUAUUGGCUUCACCCAGGAAAGAAUUCAAGGGGGAGCCAGUGGUGUUAGACAGCAACUUUUAUUGAAGCAGCAGCGUACAGCAGCGGCAGAGGUAUUUCUCCUUGUGGAACAGGGCCACCCCAUAGACAGUGAACUCAGAGUAGUGGCUGAGAGCCACUUCUGUAGUCAUAUUUAUACCCACUUUUAACUACAUGCAAAUUAAGGCAGGAUGAUGCAGAAAUUUCUAGGAAAAGGAUGGUAACUUCCAGGUCGUUGGGUCACUGCCAUGGAAAGGGGUGGUAACUUCCGGGUGUUGCCAUGGCAAUGGUAAACUGAUGUAGCACACUGGUGGGCAUAUCUUACGUAAUGUUGCUUUUGCCCCAGAUGCCCUGGACCUUUUAACUAGUCCUCAAUCUGGUCCAGUUUCCGAGUCCCUGCUCCAGAGUCGAGUACCACCUCCUACCUCAAUGGGCAAGAGUCUAGAAAAUUUAAUCCUUAAACCUGGUAACUUACAUAAUUAUUUUUGUUUGGAUGCAUUCUAAUUGUUUCAAGGUUUUCUAGAGAUGGACAAUUGAGAAGGUGGCAGUCUUGCCUAUUUCUAGCAAAAUUUCAUUAAAUAAAUGCUGGCAGACAACAACAAAAAAGCCCUAAAAAGAGUGUUUGUUAUUUUGCCCUCCAGGUGCAGAUUGAGAUGUGACUUUUAUCAAUUAAGAAAAUUGAUCAUAAGAAAAAGGAGAUUGUGACUUAGAAGCUUUACCUCUAGAUUUGUCGUUUAUAUUCAAAAGUACAUUGACAGUCCUCUGUUCCUUGAACAAGACAACAUGCCUCUUUGCAGAGCUCUUGCAUUAGCUUUUCUUUUGUCGAGAAUGCUUUUUCCAUAGUAUAUACGUGCCUCAUUCUGUCACUUUUUUUUUUUUUUUUUUUUGAGAUAGAGUGUCGCUCUGUUGCCCAGGUAGAGUGCAGUGGUGCGAUCUUGGCUCACUGCAACCUCUGCCUCCUGGGUUCAAGCGAUUCUCCUGCCUCAGCCUCCCCAGUAGCUGGGACUACAGGCAGGUGCCACCAUGCCCGGCUAAUUUUUUUUAGUUUUUUUUUUUUUUAGUAGAUACGGGGUUUCACCGGGUUAGCCAGGAUGGUCUCAAUCUCCUGACCUCGUGAUCCACCUGCCUCAGCCUCACCUCCCAAAGUGCUGGGAUUACAGGCGUGAGCCGCCGCGCCUGGCCUCUGUCACUUUUUAAAAACAACAGCUUAAAUGUCAAUGCAUUGUCCUUUUCUAACUAUACUUUAUACAGUCGUUACUCCUAUCAGUCUAUCUAGUUUUGUCAGAGUAUUUACCUAACAGAAAACUACUUAUUUGUUUAUUUAUUUAAGUCAACCUCCCUUACUGGAAUGUAAAUUGCAUAAGCAUAGGGCCUUUCAGCUUUAUCUUCUACUACCAUUCUAGUUCGUAGUACAGUGACUGUUGCAUAAUAAACAAUAUACAAUUGUUAUAUAAAAGAAUGAGUACAAAGCAUAUAAAGACAACCUCCAUUGUACAAGGGCAUGGAGAAAAUAAACAGUGAUACAUUUAAUGAAUUUAUGUAUUGAACAAUUUUAAACAUCACAUCUAAAGAGCUUAACAAGUAUUUGUUUUUAUAGUUUUUGCUGAAGCACCAAAAUAGAGGCAAAGUUUUGUAGAGGCCAAGUGCUACCUUAUUCUCAAAUGGAGUUUUAGAUCAUCCAUGAAUUACUUGCAAAAGGGACGUCCUGAAACUCUGCACCACUAGACCAUCGUACACCUUUAAUGAAUUCUUAGAUGCAUUUUAUAUAUGAUGUAUGUACAUAAAAAUGAAUGAAUUCAUUAGAAGACAUUUUAAAAAUGGGAAUUUCCGUGGACAAAGAGUUUUAGGAAAGUUGAGUAUUUCUUUUGAAGCUACGUGAGGAGAGCUUUUGGAAAAGCACUAAGGAAUCUUGAUGCGUAUGCUUCGUGCUUCUGUAGACACACAGUUGGCACCUGACUCAGAUAUAAAAAAGUCUCAAGGUUUUAUUAUCGCUGGCAGAGCAAGAGGAGAGAUGGCAAGAGUGAGACACUGCAACCCACCCACUGAUGUUGGGGCGAAGAUGCCCUAGGCCAGACCUAUAACACAUAAAUAGAAAGGAGCUGGACUUGAGGGACUUGAUUUUGAACAGGACACUGUCAAAAGCCCCCACCUGGGAAACUGUACUAAUAGCCCCCACCUGGGAAACUGUACUAAUAGAAGAGUCAGCGUGGGGUGGUGUGUUAGUUUGUUUUGAUGCUGCUGAUGAAGACAUACCCAAGACUAGGCGAUUUACAAGAGAAAGAAGAGGUUGAAUUGCACUUACAUUUCCGCACGGCUGGGGAAGCCUCACAAUCAUGGCGGAAGGUGAGGAGGAGCAAGUCACAUCUUAACGUGGAUGGCGGCAGGCAAAGACACAAAGAAUGAGAGCCAAGUGAAACAGAUUUCCCCUUAUCAAACCAGCAGAUCUCACGAGACUUAUUCACUACCACGAGGACAGCAUGGGAGAACCCACCCCCACAAUCCAACCAUCUCCCACCACGUCCCUCCCAGAACACGCGGGAAUUAUGGGAGUACAAUUCAAGAUGAUAUUUGGGUGGGGACAUAGAGCCAAACAAUAUCAGGUGGACUGCCAGUAAAAAGGGGCGGGCGUGUGUUAAUGCUUUGGAGAAGGCAUUGUGUCUCUGAUAGGAACUACAGGUGAGAGAGAGAUCCCAGCGACAGAAGGUCGCCAAGGAAUCUGUGGGAGAGGAAAUAAGAAUUUGCCUGUCUGUUCCCAGUUGUUUGAGACUGGGGAGAAGACGAUGAGAAAAGUUUUAAAUUGGAUGAGAGGUUGAUACUCAGAUAUUAGGCAGAAAGGAACUUUUAUACCCCUGAAAAAUGAGAGUUCUUCUUAAUAACUAACUAGAAAAAAAUGUCAGAUCGGCCUAAUAUUUCAUCUGGGGAUAAAUAAGGACAGUUCAAAAUUAGAAAGAGCAGUAGUGAGGAAAAAAAAAUGGUCACUCUCUGCUUUUAACCUGACAACUCUUAUUCAGUCAAUUUAAAUGUUAUACAGGUUUUAGAUAAAAUACUAACAAGUAAAACACCUAUGAUAGAGUUCUGAGUAAAAUGUACAGCAUUCUGUACUUCAUAAAGAAUAUAAACUCAAGUUUAUUAUAUAUAUUACAUGUUCUCUCUAUAUUCUUUCUAUAUAAUCUAUUAUAUGUGUUUUCUCUAAUAGUAAUUAAAAAAACCCCACACAUACAGGUAUCUAUAGAAAAAAUUGGAUGCUGACACACUUACCUAAUGUUAAGACAAUUUUUUCCCCAGGGAUUGAUUUAAGUUUUCUUCUUUAUAUUUAUUUCCUCUGGCCCUGGAGGCAGUGUAUACUUUACUCAUUCUUUGAUGCAAAUGCUUUUUUUUUUUUUUUUUUUUCAGACGGAGUCUCACUCUUGUCGCCCAGGCUGGAGUGCAGUGGUGCUAUCUCAGCUCACUGCAACCUCCUCCUCCUGGGUUCAAGCGAUUCUCCUGCCUCAGCCUUCCAAGUAGCUAGGAUUACAGGUGCCCGCCACCACGCCCUGCUAAUUUUGUAUUUUUCGGUGAGACAGGUUUCGCCAUGUUGGCCAGGCUCAUCUUGAACUCCUGACCUCAGAUGAUCUGCCUGCCUCAGCCUCCCAAAGUGCUAGGAUUACAGGUGUGAGCCACUGCACCGGGCCGCAGGUACUUUUUUGAAUCCUUUGAAGGUGUCUGUUGGAAAAUGUGAUUACACUUCCCAGGAAGCAGGUGAUAAUCUCUCCCUAAGCCCCUUGACAAUGGAUGGUCCAGCCUCCUGUUGGGGUUGCUUGGUCCUUUGGCAUGAUUUAAAAUUUCUUAGGCAAAUUUUUAUUUUCAGGUAACCACUCGCUGGUUGAUGAGAACCACCUGCAUGCUGUUGCCCCUGCUGAUGAGGGAAUUCUAGCUGGUUCCAGGGCUGCUUGUGCUUUCUCUGCACAGUACUUUCUUGUUAUUACCAUGGCCUCUUGCCUUUAUUUCAUAGGCCUUUGUCAGACCCUGGGUAACAGUUUUCCUAAAUAUCCAGGGCUCCAGGAGGCCCUUUUUCUAGGCUUAAAACUCUCCUAACUUCUUCCCAGUCGGGAAAUUGAGACUUAGAGCAGACCAACAACUUUCUCCUAAAAUAAAUCACCUCCUCUAUCUGCAGCCUAGGUCAGCUUCUCUAACUCUUUUACCAGCUGGAGGCCAGUGAUCUGCUAAGGUCAUAUGUGUGCACGUGUUGCUGGGUGAGUCUAGCUUUCUAUAGGCUAUGGGAGUGGUUGACAUACAUUUCCUAGGACUUCGUCAUACACAUAAUGGAAAUAAUUCCAUGUGAGCAUACCAUUUUUAGCUUACUAAAUCCAAAAGUAUAUUAAAAGGUACUUUAUGAUAAAUAGAAGAAUAGAAGAAUAUUUUCACUUUGUAAAAGUUUUCAAUGUUCUAAUUCACUCAUUAACAGUAAAAAUCACAUAAAUAUCUUGAUAGAUGCUGAAUAAGAAUUUUAUAAAGCUCAUUAUUUAUUUUAAAAAUUGAAACAAACAACUUAUAAAGUUGAAUUUCUACCAUAUUAUGUAUUUUUUAAAUUCUCAUAAAAUUGAAUGGAAACUUCCUUAAUGUGUUAAAAGCUUAUACCAAAAUAUAAUGUAAAUAUAAAUAAUUGAUGCAUAUACAUCAAAUAUCACAUUUAAAGAUUAGAUACAUUAUCUUAAAUUGGGAGCAAAACAAAUGUCCAAUUUUAAUUAUUGGAUUUCAAUAAAUCACUUGAGAUUAGGGCUAAUUCUUUGGAAUUCAUGUAAAAGAAAUAUGGAUUUUGAAAAUUUUGAGAAAAAAAUAAAACAUUAUAACUCUAUGAUUACAGAGAUAUGAUCUGCAUGAAAUCCUAGUAGAAUUAACAAAGAAUGAGUGUUAAUAAGAGAACUGAACAAGUUUGCUAAACAUGAGGUCAACUUUCUCAAUUCUUCAGCAUUCAUUUAAGUAAGUAAUGCCAACCAAAACAAAAAAUAAUGUAAUAUAAAACAAUAGCAACAAAAUUUUAAAAGUAUUUAGAAAUUAACCUUGGAAAGAAAUCUAUAAACCUUUAUAAUAGAAAUUUUAAAAUUGUAAUAAAGGAAAUUAAGGAAGACCUAAAUAAAUGUGGAAAUCUAUUAUGUCUUUAUUUAAAAAUAUAAAAGUUUUUAUUCCAAAAUAAAUGUAUAAGUUCAAUGUAAUUUCAAUAAAGAUUCAGUAGUACCUUUGAGGAACUGAACGUAUAUACGUAUAUACAAAAUACACAGAUACAAAAAUAUCUGUGAAAAAGUCAGCUGACAGAAGAGAAACAGGAUAUCUUCUUAGUGAUAUAUAAAUGUAUUACAAAGCCUAAGUAAUAAUAAUAUAGGAAAUAAAGAGUGAAAAUAUUAAUGUAACAAAAUAGAGUUCAAGAGCAGACCCCUUGAUCUGGGAACUAGAUAAAGAUGAAAGUGGUAUCAUGUUCAGUGGCAAAAGGUUGAAUGGUUCAUAAAUUGUUUUGGGAAAACAGACUUACAAAGUAUAAAAAUAAAAUUGGCCUUCUAUUUCAUAGCAUAUACAAAGGAGGACUGCUGAUUGAUUAAUGAUUUAAAUGCAAAUAGUAAAACCAUAAAAAAUAAUGGGGCUAUGGAGACUUCAUUACAGAACCUUAAAAGCACAAUGUAUAUGGAUUUAACUGCAAUGGAUUUAUCAACAUAAAAAUUCAGGAUAUUUUUCCAGCAAUGAAUAUUACAAAAAAUAUUAACAGAUGGACGACAGAUUGGGAGAAGAUAUUUGCAAAGGGUUUAAUAUUAAAACUAUACAAAGAAUGUCUUCCAAGUAACCAAAAAGAUGAAAAAAUUAGUAAGGAAAUUGGCAAAGGAUAUAAAUGGCACAAAAUGACUGAAAAUUAUGUGUAUAGAUGUGCAACCACAUUAGUAAUCAGAUAAAUGCAAAAUAAAAUAAAAUACUACUUCACAGUUAUUGGAGUCCCCAAAUGGAAAAGAAGCUGUGUUGAUAAGAAUAUGGAGAAUUGAUGCUUGUCAUCCAUAGCUUAUGGGAACAUAGAGUGGUGCAGCCUUUCUGGAGGAAAUUACAUGGUGGAUUUACAAAUGCUUAUAUCGUACUACUCAACAAUGUGAUCUUUGUUAUUUUAUUCUGGAAAAAUCUUGCCCCCAUUCCAAGCAGGGACAUGUUUUGUGGAAAUAGGUAAUUGGAGGCAACAUAGCUAUUAUUAUUAGGGGAAUGAAUAAAAGCAAAAUGUGUUGAUUACACACUAUGGUUGUAGUAGUCUGUUUUCAUGCUACUGAUAAAAACAUACCUGAGACUGGGAAAUUUACAAAACAAAGAGGUUUAAUUGGGCUUACAGUUCCACAUGGCUGGAGAGGCCUAACAAUCAUGGCGUAAAGCAAGGAGGAGUAAGUCACAUCUUACGUGGAUAGUGGCAGGCAAAGACAGAAUGUACCAGCAGGGGAAAUGCCAGAUGCUUAUAAAACCAUCAGAUCUUGUGAGAACUCAUUCAUUAUCAUGAGAACAGUAAGGGGGAAUAGCCCCCAUGAUUCAAUUAUCUCUGCCUGGCCCCACCCUUGACACCUGGAGAUUAUUACAAUUCAAGGUGAGAUUUGGGUGGGCACACAGAGUCAAACCACGUCAAUGGUAUUCAUAAUCAACAUGUCUGAUCUUAAAAACUUCAUGUUGACUAAAUAAAUAGAAAAGAGAAUAUUGAUAGCAUAGUAAUAAUUACAAGUACCUUCACAAAACAUUAUCCUUGUUUUAGAAAAAAUUCUCAUACUGAAAAAAAAACCAAAAACAUGAAAUCAAGCAUUUAUUCCAUUGAUAGAUGAAUGGGGGUAGGACUCAGGGAGGAAGGUGAGAAAUAUAAGAUAAAAUAUAUAAUAAAAUAAAAUAAAACAAAAUGGGACCUUUAAGACUGAUGGUGAACAUGUAUCAUGAUUUAUGUGAAAUGUUUAAUUCAGUUAUUUGGACCUGUGGUAAAAAAUCAAAUACCAAGGGGUAAAAAUUAAAUGAAAUUUUAUUUUAAUGCACAGGAAAAUUGAUCAUGCAGACAGGUCCUAUUCUACUAUCAAUCUCUUUUUAGGAAAUCCCUUUACAAACAGUAGACUGUUGAGCAUUGUUUCUUCACAUUUUCUGUAUGUGAAGAUUUAAAAUAUUAGGCAUUUUUGAAUAUGGAAUUGAUAAUGUAUGGUGAAGGCAAUUUGUGUGUUUUUACAAUGCUAUCCAAUACACAAUGAGUAUGUAAAACAUUUCUGUCAACUUCAAGUGUGCCAUUUUGUUCUAUUACUUGCCAAUAUUUUCACUGCAUGAAACUAAUUUGUUUCUGAGGAGUUGGUGACUUUCUGUAACAUAUUUUAUGGACAAUCCAAAACAAUCCAUUAAGCACUCCCUCCCCACACUCCCUGUUUUUCUGUUGACAUUCAGAUUCAACACAUUUAUAAAAUUAAGGACUGUUUUGCCAAUCUCAGGUACCAGGUGUACUACACUUUGAGGGUUAUUUAUUUUCUUCAAAGUCAGACUGGAUUUUGGCCCAUACAUCAUUUGAACUUCUCUCCUUGCAUUAUUUGUCUAUAGGAGAAAUAUUGAUUGGAAAAGCAGUGUAGAAUAAAGUUAAAGUUAGGUAUCCUAUAUAAUUUUUCCUAAAUAAUUAAAAAUGUUUUUUUAAAAAGUGAUGUUAAAAUUGUUAAGUAAAAUCCAAUAUGACUGAUUCCUGUAUUGACUUCCCAAGGAUUAAAAUCUCAUUAGAUAAGCAUGUAAUAUGUCUUACAUGAUAAAGUAUCCAUAAGAGUAGCUAAUAGUUUUCUUAGCAUGUAACAUUCAAAACUGAGCAAUUAAUAAUAUGGAGUGAGCAGUAGCUAACAGUAUUUAAAUUUAAUGAAACCUUCACAAAUUCAUGUUCUUCCAUUUCACAGAAGGAGAAAAAGCUGAUAUUUAACAGUAUUCAGUUUUUUGGGGGAAUACUUUUUAGGAGUAAUAAUAUUUUCUAAGUGCUUAUUCAAGAUAAGUUUUACAUUAUGGGAAAAUGCAAGUUAUUAAUUCUCAUUAGAUUUAUUUAGUGUUCUGUCACUCUUACAUUUUUGGAGAUUUUCCUAAUAAGAUAUGUAUAUUUUGGCAUCCAACCUCUCAAUAUCUUGCAUGGUAUUUAAUAUUGAUAUAGAUAUUCCUUUUUGUUAUCCUGGAGUUUGAAAAUGCCAGCUUGUGGUAUGUCCUUUGUAUAUUAUGAAUUAAAAUAUUUGCCAUUCUUUAAAAUA